GUACUGUUGAAGAGUCCCAAACUAGGGCGAAACAGCGGUCCAGUAC
Molecule: non-coding RNA, 46 nt
Filed under: Trichobilharzia regenti
Lineage: Eukaryota; Metazoa; Platyhelminthes; Trematoda; Strigeidida; Schistosomatidae
Source: RNAcentral